This is a non-coding RNA of Zootermopsis nevadensis, 668 nucleotides long. Lineage: Eukaryota; Metazoa; Arthropoda; Insecta; Blattodea; Termopsidae. The record is from RefSeq and is a predicted model, not a curated record.
UGAUGAGAGCCGGUUGGACUCAAAUUGGUUUUGAAAGGAUUGGGUGACCUCCCCUCGUCAUUGCAGCCAAAUGUUAUCAUCUCUCCAGACUCUGAGAGACAGACUGUGUGCAUUCCUCCUGCACACAGGUCUAUCACAUGAUCUACACUUGACAGGAGUGCUGGGCUGCCUCGUUCCAAUACGCUUUCUCCUAGACCAAGCUGCCCUACGUCACCCUGUCCGAACGCAUGCUGUUCACUUAUGUUGCAGAGAUUUCCUGCAGCAUUACUAAUCAACAUAUAAGUUUUUCCAGUAAAAGUAAUUUUCCUACAUUUUAACUAUCAGAUGGUUGAUUAUUGAUUUUUCUGAUGAAGGCCAAUUCGCUGGUUAAAUUGGGCCUAGUCAGAAAGGAAGAAAUACUUUUGGCUCUGUAUCAAUAUGGACACCCUGGGGGAGCCCGGGGUGGCCCGGGCCAGAGAGGAAACUCACCAGCCAGAAAGUCCACGUAUGGAGCUGUAAUGGGAUCGCGCAUGAAGAGUGGGAGCUGCCUUAUGGCAGACCGGAAGUCACCUGCGAUCGGAGUUACCGGCACCUGUACUACGACAACGGCCUGAGCCUUGGGAGUUUGUUCUCCUUUUGAAUUGAUAUACAUAUGUACAUUUUGUUAAAUACAUGUUGGUAAUUUGGGA